UACAGAGGGUGCAAGCGUUGUUCGGAAUUAUUGGGCGUAAAGCGCGUGUAGGCGGCUUUGCAAGUCGGGUGUGAAAGCCCUCAGCUCAACUGAGGAAGUGCGCCCGAAACUGCAUGGCUUGAGUACCGGAGAGGAUGGCGGAAUUCCCCAAGUAGAGGUGAAAUUCGUAGAUAUGGGGAGGAACACCAGUGGCGAAGGCGGGUCUCUGGGCCGUAACUGACGCUGAGGAGCGAAAGUGUGGGGAGCGAACAGG
Molecule: ribosomal RNA, 253 nt
Filed under: uncultured bacterium
Lineage: Bacteria
Description: partial 16S ribosomal RNA
Rfam family: Bacterial small subunit ribosomal RNA
Source: RNAcentral